Molecule: long non-coding RNA, 369 nt
Filed under: Ananas comosus (pineapple)
Lineage: Eukaryota; Viridiplantae; Streptophyta; Magnoliopsida; Poales; Bromeliaceae
Description: long non-coding RNA (ACOM_LNC032404)
Source: RNAcentral
UAAUUAACUUAAUAUAGCUACUAUAAUUCAAAAUAAUUUACCCUUCCUAAACAAAACAAAAUUAACUAAGUCUAUUAUAAUCUUAAUAUUUUUUCUGCUAAACUAGAUUACUGUAAUAAUAUAAAAUUAAUUAAUUGUAAAACUUUUUUAAUUUUUGUUUUUUAUAAAAUUCAAAGGUUAGGUGAUUUUAUCACCUAACCUUUGAAUUUGUUUGAAUUGAAUCAAUCAGCAAUAUUUUGACUGCAAAAUUUAAGCUAAUUUAUUUACUUUAAUGAAUUUAUGAUUAGUAGAAUUAUAUAAACUACACUAAUUAAACAUAAAAAGAUAAAAGACGCUUUUAAAUUUUUAAAGUCAAAGUGUUAUUGAGUU